GAGGGGUGGCAGAGCGGUUCAAUGCACCGGUCUUGAAAACCGGCGUCCGAAAGGACUCGUGGGUUCGAAUCCCACCCCCUCC
RNAcentral lists this transfer RNA (82 nucleotides) under marine eukaryotic metagenome. It matches the Rfam family "tRNA". Rfam says of the family: Transfer RNA (tRNA) molecules are approximately 80 nucleotides in length. The record is from RNAcentral.